AGAAAUAGGGGUCGCUCACAUUACAAGCGUUGACAAAAAAGAUUUUUGUUUAGACAGUCAUUCUUUAAAAUUGAACGUUUGCUCAACUAUUAUUCAAUAUCUGAUGGCCAGUUACAAUAAAUUGUCUCUGACCGAUUAGUUCAGAUUGCGAGAGUGGAUUUCUUUAUGAGUUUUCCCUCGGUACGAUCUUCAAAUAGGUCGGUGGAUGUCUAGUUAUAAUAGAACAAACAAGUUCAGCUACAUGCUUUUUUUUUCUAUCUUUUAGCGAGUCCAGUUUUAAUUUAGAAAGAAGAGGGGCUGAAUAGGCAUCUCGAUUUGCAAAUAAUUCGUUAAGCAAUUUUUUGUCUAGUUUCUUUAACUGCAAUGUAUGUUUACUAUAUGUAAAGUUUACUAUAACUGUAA
This is a non-coding RNA of Hydra vulgaris (swiftwater hydra), 402 nucleotides long. The record is from RefSeq and is a predicted model, not a curated record. NCBI's taxonomy places the organism in Eukaryota, Metazoa, Cnidaria, Hydrozoa, Anthoathecata, Hydridae.